GAUGAACGCUGGCGGCGUGCCUAAUACAUGCAAGUCGAGCGAACAGACGAGGAGCUUGCUCCUCUGACGUUAGCGGCGGACGGGUGAGUAACACGUGGAUAACCUACCUAUAAGACUGGGAUAACUUCGGGAAACCGGAGCUAAUACCGGAUAAUAUAUUGAACCGCAUGGUUCAAUAGUGAAAGACGGUUUUGCUGUCACUUAUAGAUGGAUCCGCGCCGCAUUAGCUAGUUGGUAAGGUAACGGCUUACCAAGGCAACGAUGCGUAGCCGACCUGAGAGGGUGGUCGGCCACCCUGGAACUGAGACACGGUCCAGACUCCUACGGGAGGCAGCAGUAGGGAAUCUUCCGCAAUGGGCGAAAGCUUGACGGAGCAACGCCGCGUGAGUGAUGAAGGUCUUCGGAUCGUAAAAAUCUGUUAUUAGGGAAGAACAAAUGUGUAAGUAACUAUGCACGGCUUGACGGUACCUAAUCAGAAAGCCACGGCUAACUACGUG
Molecule: ribosomal RNA, 497 nt
Filed under: uncultured bacterium
Lineage: Bacteria
Description: partial 16S ribosomal RNA
Rfam family: Bacterial small subunit ribosomal RNA
Source: RNAcentral